CCAGCCAUGCCGCGUGAGUGAAGAAGGCCUUCGGGUUGUAAAGCUCUUUCGGCAGGAACGAAAUGGUUCGUGCUAAUACCACGGACUGAUGACGGUACCUGAAGAAGAAGCACCGGCUAACUACGUGCCAGCAGCCGCGGUAAUACGUAGGGUGCAGGCGUUAAUCGGAAUUACUGGGCGUAAAGCGUGCGCAGGCGGUUUCUUAAGUCAGAUGUGAAAGCCCCGGGCUUAGCCUGGGAACUGCGUUUGAAACUGGGAGACUUGAGUGUGGCAGAGGGGGGUGGAAUUCCACGUGUAGCAGUGAAAUGCGUAGAUAUGUGGAGGAACACCAAUGGCGAAGGCAGCCCCCUGGGUCAACACUGACGCUCAUGCACGAAAGCGUGGGGAGCAAACAGGAUUAGAUACCCUGGUAGUCCACGCCCUAAACGAUGUCAACUGGUUGUUGGGGGAUUAACUCCCUUAGUAACGAAGCUAACGCGUGAAGUUGACCGCCUGGGGGGUACGGCCGCAAGGUUAAAACUCAAAGGAAUUGACGGGGACCCGCACAAGCGGUGGAUUAUGUGGAUUAAUUCGAUGCAACGCGAAAAACCUUACCUACCCUUGACAUGCUAGGAAGCUUGCAGAGAUGCGAGUGUGCCCGAAAGGGAACCUAGACACAGGUGCUGCAUGGCUGUCGUCAGCUCGUGUCGUGAGAUGUUGGGUUAAGUCCCGCAACGAGCGCAACCCUUGUCAUUAGUUGCUACAUUCAGUUGGGCACUCUAAUGAGACUGCCGGUGACAAACCGGAGGAAGGUGGGGAUGACGUCAAGUCCUCAUGGCCCUUAUGGGUAGGGCUUCACACGUAAUACAAUGGCCGGUACAGAGGGUUGCCAACCCGCGAGGGGGAGCCAAUCCCAGAAAGCCGG
Molecule: ribosomal RNA, 904 nt
Filed under: uncultured bacterium
Lineage: Bacteria
Description: bacterial SSU rRNA
Rfam family: Bacterial small subunit ribosomal RNA
Source: RNAcentral